RNAcentral lists this long non-coding RNA (11120 nucleotides) under Medicago truncatula (barrel medic). Its description in RNAcentral is "long non-coding RNA (MTRU_LNC001127)". Lineage: Eukaryota; Viridiplantae; Streptophyta; Magnoliopsida; Fabales; Fabaceae. The record is from RNAcentral.
GUAUGUUCAUAGAACAGAUUACACGGCCAGGUUCAAUGAGAUCGACGCGAAGUGAACUCAUAAUUAAGGGUUGCAAGAAUCCCAGAGGUAAUCCAUUUACCGUUGACGUUGUUUCUCCUUCUCUUUUUUCCAAAUUCCUCUUCACUGAUUCAAGGUUCAUUUUCACUUUCUUCUCGUUUUAGUUUGUUUUACUCACACACUACCUAACACCUCUCUCUUCAACUGAAUGAUUUCAGCUUUUCGUUCUACUCCUCUUCGUGUAGACUCAUUCCACUUUUCAAUCAUUACCUUUUUUUAAUAUUAAUUUCAUCUAGGGGUGGGUAAAAAGGACCGUGAACCGAACCGAACCAAAAAUAACCGAAUCAUUAUAAUAGUUCACGAACCGAACCGUUAAUUUAUUGACAGUUCUUGAACCAUAACCGAACCAUCUUUAACCGAACCAAACCACUUGAUUUUUUUAUUUUUUUUUUAAAGGAAACCACUUGAACUCUUUGUUGGAUCUUUCCAAAAAAACAACUUAUUUAAAAUAGCUUAUUUUAAAAAACAACUUAUUCAAAACAGUUUAUUUUAUGAAAACAACUUAUUUUAAAAAAAUAGCUUAUUCAAAACACCUAAUUUUAUGCAAAAUAGCUUAUUUUAAAAAAUAACUUAUUCAAAAAAACUUAUUUUAUGCAAAACACCUUAUUUUAAAAAACAGCUUAUUAAAAAAAAAAAACCUAUUUUUAAAAAAAAAAAAACAGCUUAUUCAAAACAGAUUAUUUGAAAAACAACUUAUUUUAUGAAAAACACCUUAUUUUAAAAACAGCUUAUUCAAAACAGCUUAUUUUCAAAAAAACAACUUAUUCAAAACAUGUUUUGAAUAAAAUGAGUUGUUUUAAAAUAAGUAGUUUUUUUAAAAUAAUUUGUUUUCAUAAAAUAAGCUGUUUUUAAAAAUAAGGUGUUUUGCAUAAAAUAAGCUAUUUUUUAAAAUAAGUUGUUAUGCAUAAAAUAAACUGUUUUGAAUAAGUUGUUUUGCAUAAAAUAAACUGUUUUGAUUAAGUUGUUUUUUAAAAAGAGAUCGUAACAAGCUAUUUUUAAUAAAAUAAGCUUUUUAGAAUAAGCUGUUUUUCAUAAAAGAAGCUGUUUUGAAUAAGCUGUUUUAAAAAAUAAGUUGUUUUUCAUAAAAUAAGCUGUGUUUUUUAAAAUAAGGUGUUUUGCAUAAACUCAGUUGUUUUUCAUAAAAUAAGUUGUUUAUCAAAUAAGUUGUUUUUUUUUUUUUAAAUAAGGUAUUUUCAUAAAAUAAGUUGUUUCUUAAAAUAAGGUGUUUUCAUAAAAUAAACGGUUUUGAAUAAGCUAUUUUUAAAAAGAGAUCGUAAUAAAUUAUUUUUCAUAAAAUAAGUUUUUUUGAAUAAGCUGUUUUUUAAAAUAAACUGUUUUGCAUAAGAUAAGCUGUUUUUGAAGAAAUAAAUUAUUCUAACUUUUAAUUUUAAUUUGUUAUUUUUAUAAUAAAAGUGGUUUUAUUUAUUGGAUAAAAAAUAUUUAUUUUGGUUCGGUUCGGUAUGGUUAAUAGUUAAGCAAAUGGUUAACUAAACCAUAACUUUGGUUCAGUUCGGUUAACUCCAAACUUAAAAUUGUUCGGUUCGGUUUUUGCGAACCAUUUCAAAAUUUCGGUUCGGUUUGGUUUUUUGGGUUAACGGAACCAUGACCACCCCUAAUUUCAUCAAUCAUUUACCUUUUCAAUCCACUAAUAUUAAAAAGUCUCGUUUCCCUUCAAAAAAAAAUAAAAUAAAAACUCUCGUUAACGACUAUCCAGGACACUUCGUAAGAAUCCAAAAUUUAGACAUGAUAUAGUUGAUCAUAUUACACAUGUCAAUGCAUAAUUUAGAGUUUAAAUAGUUUGAAUAAUAUGUUAGAAAAAAUUAUGAAAAUUUGAUAUUUUGAAAAUAUUCAUCGAAACGAUUUUUUUUUAAGAGAUUAAAAUGGAUUAUAUCAACAACAAAAAAGACCUUCUGAGCACAAGAUGAGCCAAGAAGGAACAAAAGAGUCUAUACAAUAUUUACAGAAAGGAAAAAAAAAAUACAAAAAAUGACGAAAGAAAUAACAAUUAUCCGUAGCCCAACAUUGCGAGGGGACUAAGCCACCAACCAUGAUAAUUGAGGGAGAUCUAAACAUUUUUCUCCUUCAACCACGAGAAAGAAAGUGACUUUAUUUUGUCCACAAUCCGCAUAAUUGGGCAUUGUAACACCCCGUUUCCCAAAAAUCAAUUUAAUUAUAAUAUAAAAUCAGAGUUUCAACAUCAAACGGUAUGUCACACUUCAAAAUAUAAAUUCUUAAAUAGAUUAAAACUAUUUAACAACAUCCUUCAAUUAACUGCAGCGGAAUAAUCUUUAAAUUAAACUCCAUUAUCCAAAAUAAUCUUGGCAUUAAGCCUCAACAUAAAAUAUUCCAUCAAUCAUAGGGCUACAACAUUAACCAAAAUUUGAUACAUAGAAUGAAUUUAAACAAUAAAAUCCCAUCCCACGUAUCAGAGCCCUAGACACUUGAGCCACCACCAACUACUCAGGAUCACCUGCAAGUUACCCAUAGGAAGGGCAACAUUUUCAAGCAGAAGGGGUGAGAUUCACAACAAAAUAUAGAUAAAGAAUACAUCAAUUGAAUCUAACACCCUAUCAUAAAUCAUCAACAUUAUUAUUGUUUAUAUAACAUCAUUUUCGCAUCUUAUCACAAUAUUAAUUCAUACACCUCUCAACAAUAUAUACAACUUAUCACCACUCCACUAAGACUCCUCUAAACACCCAUGCAUGUGGUACCAAAAAUCAGGGCCGUGACCCACACCGCUGUCGAAUGGUUAAAGCAUUCUCAACAGGACAUAAGUCCUCACCACUACACCACUUUGAGUAACUAGUACUCCACCACUUUGAACGACUAAGCAUUCCAGAGCCGAAGCUCUCCCACUGUUAUGUUAAUGCAACUAAUCCUCAUAGAGUAUAUCUACAUACCAACCAACCUAGACAUAUACAUAUAUAUGAUUCACCAACCAACUUACACCUUUAAGGGAAUUUAAUUAAAUACAACAUUCAUUCAGUCAGCAUCCAUUCAUCAAAACCAACGAAAACAUCCAGGGAAAUAUAUAUCAGCAUACAAGCCAUGCAAUAAUUCAACCAAAUACACAAUCCAAACAACAACAGAAAUUAACCAACCAAAUACUGGGCAGCUCGCCUCGCGAGCUCAUCUACUCGCUAUGGCGAGCUCAGAAAAACAGGUACUCGCCAUGGCGAGUUGGAGGCGAACUCGAGGCGAACAGAAAUAUGGUGCUCUCGGGAAAAAUGACAUUUUUCUCACUCAAACCUCAAUUCUAAGCUCCCUAAUCAUCUUUUACACUUAAAACUUGCUCUAGUCCUCUUAAGAAUCAUCUAGGUACACAAAACUACCCAAAAUACGGCUUAUAACAACUUUUUCAAAAUCCAGAUUUUUACAAGGCUACUCGCCAUGGCGAGCUGAUUCACUCGCGAGGCGAGCGAUGAAGUUGUUCACUCGCUAUGGCGAACAAUGGCUACUCGCGAGGCGAGCGAUGAACUCCUGUACGGGCAGAAUGCAGUUUUUCCCAAAAAAUCCCAUUUUUCCUCAAUUCACUCCCCAAAUUAGUUUACAGAUAUGCAAUGAAAGGUUUUAUGCACCCAGAACCCAUUUCUACCCUCAAUUCUAUGAUUUUUACACUCAAAACUCCUUAAUCAACAAAAACCCAAUUUCUCCCAAAUCCUCACAUAAACCUGUUAGAACACAAUCAACAUUCAGAAUCUAUAUAAUUGCGGUAAACCUCACCCUUACCUUAGAUUCACAGAAAAAUGCAGCAGCAAUUGAUUCCUAAGCUUCUCUCCCUUGCACUUGGCUUUUCUCCCAAAACUUGUAUGUUUUCACGUUAAAAAUGUUUUCUCUAUUUUUCUUUCCUUAACUCCCAAAGUGUAACCUCCCCCACUCCUUAAUUAGCAAUUAACUCCCUACUAACUAUACUAAUUAUUUCAUAACCCCCAAAAUAAUAAUUAAUCCUAUUCUUAUAUUAUUUUAAUUAUUUAAUAAAAUAAUCAUAUAAUAAAUAAAUAUACAUUACAUAAAUCACCAAAAAUCACAUAAAUGACACCACACAAUUAAAAAUAAUUAAAUAAAAAUUAGAGUGUUACAACUCUCCCCAAAUUACUGAAUUUCGUCCUCGAAAUCUUACCUCAAACAAACAACUCAGGAUACGAGUCCCUCAUCUUACUUUCCAGCUCCCAAGUCAAACUUUCACCCGUUGCUCCACCCCAAACUACUCUCACCAAAGGUAUUUCCUUGCCCCUCAAUGCCUUUACUUUCCGAUCAUCGAUCCUCAACGGCAAGGUCUCAACUGUGAGAUUGUCCCUAACCUGCACAUCAUCUCUCGGAAUAACAUGCGAAGGAUCCGCUACAUACUUCCGCAACUGUGACACGUGAAACACAUCAUGCAAGUUCGAUAGAUGUGGUGGCAAGCCAACUCUAUAUGCCACCGUUCCGAUCCUCUCUGAAAUCUGAUACGGGCCAAUGAACUUCGGAGUUAACUUCCUCGAUUUCAAAGCACGUCCUACACCUGUCAUCGGAGUGACUCUUAGAAAUACAUGAUCACCCUCUUGGAACUCAAGGGCCUUCCUCCUCUUGUCAUGGUAACUCUUCUGUCGACUCUGCGACGCUUUCAUCUUCUCUCUGAUCAUCUUGACUUUUUCUGUAGUCUCCUGAACUAAAUCUGGUCCCAACACAACACUUUCUCCUGUCUCGAACCAACACAAAGGAGUCCUGCACCUUCGACCAUAUAAUGCUUCGAAUGGUGCCAUUCCUAUACUCGAAUGAUAACUGUUGUUGUAGGUGAACUCUAUCAAUGGCAGGUGACUAUCCCAAGCUCCACCCUGUUCAAGCACACACACUCUCAACAAGUCUUCCAAUGAUUGGAUCGUCCUCUCCGACUGACCAUCUGUCUGAGGAUGAUAAGCCGAACUCAGCCUCAACUUCGAGCCCAAAGCAUCCUGUAAACUCUUCCAGAACCUAGAAGUAAACCUCGGAUCUCUAUCCGACACAAUGCUAGACGGAACACCAUGUAGCUUCACAACACUAUGUAUAUAAAUUUCAGCCAACUGAGCUACCGGAUAAUUGAUGUUGAUAGGAAUAAAAUGUGCCGACUUCGUCAACCUAUCAACCACCACCCAAAUCGAAUCAUGUCCCUUCGGAGUGUUUGGUAAACUCGUCACAAAAUCCAUAGAAAUGCUAUCCCAUUUCCACUCUGGUACAUCCAAUGGUGUCAACAAUCCUGCGGGCUUCUGAUGUUCAACCUUAGACUUCUGACAAGUUAAACAUGCAUACACAAAAUGAGCAACAUCUCGCUUCAACCCAGACCACCAAAACAGCUUUUUCAAAUCGUGAUACAUCUUCGUAGCUCCCGGAUGAAUGCUUAAGCUACUCUUAUGACUUUCCUCUAGGAUUAACUUUUUCAUUUCUUCAUUAUCAGGAAUACAAAUUCUACCUCUGAAUCUUAGCACACCCUGAUCAUCAACCUUGAAGUCACCAUCUUCGAUACCAUUACCAGCAACCAUUAGAUCAACCAACUUGACAUCCACUUGCUGCGCUUCCCGGAUACUAUUCAGGAAAUCACUGUUAAUCUUUAGCAUCCCCAACUGUAUGCUCUGAGGCGACAACUCACACACCAAACUCAUGUCUCUAAACUGUUCCAGUAAAUCAAAUUCUUUCAUCAUCAUAGCAGACAUAUGCAGUGUCUUCCUACUCAAUGCAUCAGCGACUACAUUAGCUUUGCCCGGAUGGUAAUUCAACCCAAAAUCAUAAUCUUUUAACAGCUCAAGCCAUCUCCUCUGCCUCAUAUUCAAUUCCUUCUGGUCAAACAAAUAUUUCAAGCUCUUGUGGUCACUGAACACUUCAAAUCUGGAACCAUACAAGUAGUGUCUCCAAAUUUUCAAAACAAAAACCACCGCAGCUAACUCUAAAUCAUGAGUGGGAUAAUUCUUUUCAUGCACCCUCAGUUGCCUAGAAGCAUAUGCUACCACCUUGCCAUCUUGCAUCAAAACACCUCCUAAACCCAGCUUAGACGCAUCACAAUAAACAACGAAUGGCUCUUCCGGCUUAGGCAAGAUCAAAAUAGGAGCAGUUGUCAAUCUUUUCUUUAAUUCAAUGAAACUACUCUCACACUGAGCAUUCCACACAAAAGACUUACCCUUACAGGUUAACUGAGUCAACGGCAAUGCAAUCUUUGAAAAUCCUUCUAUGAAUCUACGAUAAUAACCAGCCAAGCCCAAGAAACUUCUGAUUUCAGUCACCGACUUCGGAGUCUCCCAUUGUGAUACUGCAUCAACUUUUGAUGGAUCAACCGCUAUACCAUCACCAGAAAUAAUAUGACCAAGGAAACUCACUUCACUUAGCCAAAACUCACAUUUCGACAGUUUGGCAUACAAUUUCCUUUCUUUCAAAACUUGCAACACAAUUCUCAGAUGUUCUGCAUGCUCUUCUUCAGUCUUCGAAUAAAUCAGAAUGUCAUCAAUAAAUACCACCACGAAUUUAUCCAGAAAAGCAUGAAAAAUUCGAUUCAUAAACUCCAUGAAUACACCGGGCGCGUUAGUAACACCGAAAGGCAUCACUUUGUAUUCGUAAUGACCGUAUCGUGUCCUAAAGGCCGUCUUCUGCAUAUCCUCAUCCUUCACCUUAAUUUGAUGGUAACCUGACCUCAAGUCAAUCUUACUGAACACCUUUGCACCCACUAGCUGGUCCAUCAAGUCAUCAAUUCUCGGAAGCGGAUAUCUAUUCUUAAUUGUAACUUUGUUCAAUUGACGAUAGUCAAUGCACAACCUCAUACUACCAUCCUUUUUCUUCACCAACAACACAGGUGCUCCCCACGGCGAAACACUGGGUCUUACAAACUUCUUAUCAAGUAAAUCUUCCAACUGUUUCUUCAAUUCAGCUAACUCAGAAGCUGACAUACGGUACGGUGCCAUCGACACCGGCUUUGUUCCAGGAACAAGGUCAAUUGAAAACUCCACCUCCCUCUCUGGCGGCACAUCAGGAAUCUCAUCAGGGAACACCUCCGGAAACUCAUUCACCACUGCUAGCUUGUCAAUCACAGCUUGAUUUUCUAACGACAGAUAUGCCAUUAGAGAAAACAUCAGAAUUCCAUCACGUUCUAACUGCUUCAUCUGCUUUGUAGAUAAAAUUUCAACUCCAUUUUCUUCUUCAGCAGAAGAAAAAUGCACCGUCUUACUAAAACAAUUGAUAUGAACUCGGUUAUACUCUAACCAGUUCAUACCAAGGACACAACAACAACAACAAAGACAACAUUAAAGUUGACACUCUAUCCUAGGUAGCUCAACACGACUCUACUACUUGGCCGGACGGACCAACCAGGCUCUGAUACCAAUUGUAACACCCCGUUUCCCAAAAAUCAAUUUAAUUAUAAUAUAAAAUCAGAGUUUCAACAUCAAACGGUAUGUCACACUUCAAAAUAUAAAUUCUUAAAUAGAUUAAAACUAUUUAACAACAUCCUUCAAUUAACUGCAGCGGAAUAAUCUUUAAAUUAAACUCCAUUAUCCAAAAUAAUCUUGGCAUUAAGCCUCAACAUAAAAUAUUCCAUCAAUCAUAGGGCUACAACAUUAACCAAAAUUUGAUACAUAGAAUGAAUUUAAACAAUAAAAUCCCAUCCCACGUAUCAGAGCCCUAGACACUUGAGCCACCACCAACUACUCAGGAUCACCUGCAAGUUACCCAUAGGAAGGGCAACAUUUUCAAGCAGAAGGGGUGAGAUUCACAACAAAAUAUAGAUAAAGAAUACAUCAAUUGAAUCUAACACCCUAUCAUAAAUCAUCAACAUUAUUAUUGUUUAUAUAACAUCAUUUUCGCAUCUUAUCACAAUAUUAAUUCAUACACCUCUCAACAAUAUAUACAACUUAUCACCACUCCACUAAGACUCCUCUAAACACCCAUGCAUGUGGUACCAAAAAUCAGGGCCGUGACCCACACCGCUGUCGAAUGGUUAAAGCAUUCUCAACAGGACAUAAGUCCUCACCACUACACCACUUUGAGUAACUAGUACUCCACCACUUUGAACGACUAAGCAUUCCAGAGCCGAAGCUCUCCCACUGUUAUGUUAAUGCAACUAAUCCUCAUAGAGUAUAUCUACAUACCAACCAACCUAGACAUAUACAUAUAUAUGAUUCACCAACCAACUUACACCUUUAAGGGAAUUUAAUUAAAUACAACAUUCAUUCAGUCAGCAUCCAUUCAUCAAAACCAACGAAAACAUCCAGGGAAAUAUAUAUCAGCAUACAAGCCAUGCAAUAAUUCAACCAAAUACACAAUCCAAACAACAACAGAAAUUAACCAACCAAAUACUGGGCAGCUCGCCUCGCGAGCUCAUCUACUCGCUAUGGCGAGCUCAGAAAAACAGGUACUCGCCAUGGCGAGUUGGAGGCGAACUCGAGGCGAACAGAAAUAUGGUGCUCUCGGGAAAAAUGACAUUUUUCUCACUCAAACCUCAAUUCUAAGCUCCCUAAUCAUCUUUUACACUUAAAACUUGCUCUAGUCCUCUUAAGAAUCAUCUAGGUACACAAAACUACCCAAAAUACGGCUUAUAACAACUUUUUCAAAAUCCAGAUUUUUACAAGGCUACUCGCCAUGGCGAGCUGAUUCACUCGCGAGGCGAGCGAUGAAGUUGUUCACUCGCUAUGGCGAACAAUGGCUACUCGCGAGGCGAGCGAUGAACUCCUGUACGGGCAGAAUGCAGUUUUUCCCAAAAAAUCCCAUUUUUCCUCAAUUCACUCCCCAAAUUAGUUUACAGAUAUGCAAUGAAAGGUUUUAUGCACCCAGAACCCAUUUCUACCCUCAAUUCUAUGAUUUUUACACUCAAAACUCCUUAAUCAACAAAAACCCAAUUUCUCCCAAAUCCUCACAUAAACCUGUUAGAACACAAUCAACAUUCAGAAUCUAUAUAAUUGCGGUAAACCUCACCCUUACCUUAGAUUCACAGAAAAAUGCAGCAGCAAUUGAUUCCUAAGCUUCUCUCCCUUGCACUUGGCUUUUCUCCCAAAACUUGUAUGUUUUCACGUUAAAAAUGUUUUCUCUAUUUUUCUUUCCUUAACUCCCAAAGUGUAACCUCCCCCACUCCUUAAUUAGCAAUUAACUCCCUACUAACUAUACUAAUUAUUUCAUAACCCCCAAAAUAAUAAUUAAUCCUAUUCUUAUAUUAUUUUAAUUAUUUAAUAAAAUAAUCAUAUAAUAAAUAAAUAUACAUUACAUAAAUCACCAAAAAUCACAUAAAUGACACCACACAAUUAAAAAUAAUUAAAUAAAAAUUAGAGUGUUACAGGCAUUCUUUGUCAUUGAAAAUUCUGUUAUUUCUUUCUUUCCAAAUUUCCCACACAGUAGCAAACCAAAUGCAUUUAAAAUUGAGUGCCGCACCUGAGUUUCGCCACCACCCAAACAUAAUUGAGUAAAAUGAUUUGAAACAGUUAGUGGGACGACGGUAGAGAGACCAAUCCAACGGAGAAUACAGUUCCAAACCGUCCCAAAAACAAAGUAAAGUAAGUUAGUUCAAAAUUGCAAAUUUUCAAAUAGGUCAUCUAUUGCGGGACGGAGGGAGUAAAUGUUACAAAUACAAUGCAUUGAUUACACAUAUUUUUAUAAAAAAACUUACUCUUAAAUAGUGCUCCGGGGCACUCGUUAACAUUCCCCGUAUUAAAAACAAACACAUUAAAUAAGGGGUAGAAAAAGUUUUUUAAACAAUAAUUACACUUGUGACAUUCUCUUAUAAUUAGGACCAAUUUAUAUAUAUAUAUAUAUAUAUAUGACCGGAUGGAGUACUAAUUAAAGAAAGAAAUGUAUUUUUUACCCUUUUAAAGGUUAACCUUGAUUUCUGUGACUCAUGCGUGAUGUAAAAAAUUCAGUUGGGAGUAGAAAAAUCAUAAAAUUUAGUGUUGAUAUUGUGAGUUUUUUUUAUGAAAAAUAAAAAAAGUCGAUAUAUAUCAUAUCAUGUCAUAAUAAUGAGAUGCGUUUAAAAACAUGAUAAAUUCUUUAAAAAAAAGGAUAACAUUAUAUUUUCAUAUUUGUCAUCGCAUGUACAUUAUGUUGGGAAAUGCCUGCAUAAUUUCCCUCCUCCGUGAACUCAAAAUAGACACUAGCGGAAACGUGAAAUAUAAACGUAAUGACACAAAGAGAAUUUUAGCGUGGAAAACCUUCUCAAUAUGAGAAAGGGAAAAAACCACGGGACCCUUGGACCUCUUAAAACUUCCACUAUAAUGAUAAUGGGAAUACAACAACUUCACCCUUAGGUGGAUCUCACUACAAUAUAUCUCUCAAUUUGCAAGGAACACUCUCACAAAUUGGCUCACUAUUUCUCUCACAAGAAAACUCUCUAUGAGGAUGACUUUUCUCUUGAGCAAGGCUCUCUUUCUCUUGCUCUUUGUUGUUCUUCUCUUGUGGUGUGUUUUGAAUGCUUGCUCAUGGUCCUAUUUAUAGGAGAAGCAAGCCAAAGUUGCCUUACAUGCAUGAAGACAUUUGUCAUUUGCCUUUUAUGCAAAACACCAAGUGUCCCUUGCAAUGCAUGCACCACACCAAAUGUCUCUCAUGCAUUACACCAUGUGUUACUCAUACACUACACCAUGUGUACACCAUGCAUCUUGCUACUUGUCACCACAUGCAACCUUCCAUCUUGUCAAAUGUAUGUUGAACAUGUGGCAAUGGCUGGACCCCACACAUUAAAUAUAUGAUAUGAUAAGAUAAAUGUUUAUUUUGUUCACAUCAUAUAUUGUCAUUAUCCAACUCUAUAUUUUAUCAUCUUCCUACCAAUUUCAUAAUAUUUUUUUGUUUAAAUUCACUUUUGAUCUGUAGUUUUAGUUUAUAUAAUAUUUUGGUCUCCAUUUUUAAUUGCAGUAAUUUGAUUCCUAUUUCAAAAAUUCAAAUAUUUUUUCUUUGACAAAAUAAAAUUCAAACAUUUGGUUCUUGUGUGAAAUAAAAGGCAAAAUAGAGAGACGAAAAAACAUGGAAAAGAUGAGGUCUAUAUAGUCGUUGCUUGCGCGGUUCGGAUGGAAUGGAAAUGAGGUCAAUUUACAGAUCUCCAAAGAUGCUUGCAAAGUUUAUAUAUUACA